GCCAUGACAGGCUGUGGCAUAUCAGUUACCUAUGUCAUUGGUUCUGUUUGUGACUGGCGCAUCUUGGCUCUACUUGGUACUAUUCCAUGUCUAAUUCAACUUCUUGGUGCCUUCUUCAUUUCAGAGUCUCCUAGAUGGCUGGCAAAAGUUGGUCGAGAAAAAGAGUUGGAAGUUGCUCUCAAGCUGCUCAGGGGAAAGAAUGCUGAUGUUUCUCAUGAAGCAGCUGAAAUCACUGAAUAUACCGAACACUUAGAUCAGCUAGCAGAAGAUGGAAUUAAAGAGUUGUUCCAGCAAAAAUACGCCUGUGUAGUUAUAGUAUCUCCAGUGGUGUUGGGUCUGUAGCAGCAAGUGUUGUGCGGAUAAUAAUGAACAUUUGCGGUCUGUUCUUAGUUGAUAAAAGUGGAAGACUACCACUUUUCUUGGUUUCUUCAACUGGAGUGUGCUUGGGUUCAUUCAUUACAAGACUGUCCUUCCUGUUGCAGGGCUUUCAUUUGGGAAAAGAAAUCACUCCUUCAUUGGCACUUGCAGGCAUAUUGGUAAUGGAAGUUACCUAAACAUCUUAAUUUCUCCAUUGUAUCAGUUAAUAAAUUAUAAUAUUACUUGAAGAAUAGAUUUAAAAUUCUUGAUUCUGCCAUUUGGUAUUCAUAGCAUUUUGGCAGUAGGCGUGGGAGGGAUACCACGGAUUACAGUGGCAGAGAUAUUUCGUGUAAACAUAAAGGGUAGAGCUGGAAGCUUAGUAAACUUGGUCAGUUCAGUUGGGUCCUGGAUUGUUGCAUACAAAUUUAACUUUUUGUUUGAGCGGAGCUCAGCCGGAGUAUUUUUCAUAUAUGCAAUUAUUCCUGGUCUGGGGGUUGUAUUUAUUGCCAAGUUGGUACCUGAGACGAAGGGGC
RNAcentral lists this unclassified non-coding RNA (890 nucleotides) under Hevea brasiliensis (rubber tree). The record is from RNAcentral. Lineage: Eukaryota; Viridiplantae; Streptophyta; Magnoliopsida; Malpighiales; Euphorbiaceae.